Jaculus jaculus (lesser Egyptian jerboa) is the source of this 107-nucleotide small nuclear RNA. Lineage: Eukaryota; Metazoa; Chordata; Mammalia; Rodentia; Dipodidae. The record is from Ensembl.
GUGCUCACUUUGGCAGCACAUAUACUAAAAUUGGAACAAUACAGAGAAGAUUAGCAUAGUCCUUGCACAAGAAUGACAUGCAGAUUUGUGAAGCGUUCUGUUGUUUU